UACGUAGGGUCCGAGCGUUGUCCGGAAUUAUUGGGCGUAAAGGGCUCGUAGGUGGUUUGUCGCGUCGGGAGUGAAAACAGCGGGCUUAACUCGUUGCUUGCUUCCGAUACGGGCAGACUAGAGGUAUGCAGGGGAGAAUGGAAUUCCUGGUGUAGCGGUGAAAUGCGCAGAUAUCAGGAGGAACACCGGUGGCGAAGGCGGUUCUCUGGGCAUUACCUGACGCUGAGGAGCGAAAGUGUGGGGAGCGAACAGG
RNAcentral lists this ribosomal RNA (253 nucleotides) under uncultured Nocardioides sp. RNAcentral's name for it is "partial 16S ribosomal RNA". It matches the Rfam family "Bacterial small subunit ribosomal RNA", at positions 524 to 776 of the family's 1533-position model. The record is from RNAcentral. Lineage: Bacteria; Bacillati; Actinomycetota; Actinomycetes; Propionibacteriales; Nocardioidaceae.